GGACGGGUAGCUCAGGGGUAGAGCGGUUGGUUGAAGCCCAGCGCGCCGGAGGUUCGAUUCCUCCCUCGUCCA
Transfer RNA from Salipiger mucosus DSM 16094, 72 nucleotides. It matches the Rfam family "tRNA". From Rfam's summary of the family: Transfer RNA (tRNA) molecules are approximately 80 nucleotides in length. NCBI's taxonomy places the organism in Bacteria, Pseudomonadati, Pseudomonadota, Alphaproteobacteria, Rhodobacterales, Roseobacteraceae. The record is from Rfam.